GCCAGGCAUGGUGACUCAUGCCUGUAAUCCCAACACUGGGAGGCCGAGGUGGGAGGAUUACUUGAGGUCAGGAGUUCAAGACCAGCCUGGCCAAUACGGUGAAACCCCAUCUCUA
This 115-nucleotide small RNA is filed under the name Macaca fascicularis (crab-eating macaque). RNAcentral's name for it is "Metazoan signal recognition particle RNA (ENSMFAG00000054587.1)". Lineage: Eukaryota; Metazoa; Chordata; Mammalia; Primates; Cercopithecidae. The record is from Rfam by way of RNAcentral.